AUUGAACGCUGGCGGCAGGCCUAACACAUGCAAGUCGAACGGUAACAGGAAGAAGCUUGCUUCUUUGCUGACGAGUGGCGGACGGGUGAGUAAUGUCUGGGAAACUGCCUGAUGGAGGGGGAUAACUACUGGAAACGGUAGCUAAUACCGCAUAACGUCGCAAGACCAAAGAGGGGGACCUUCGGGCCUCUUGCCAUCGGAUGUGCCCAGAUGGGAUUAGCUAGUAGGUGGGGUAACGGCUCACCUAGGCGACGAUCCCUAGCUGGUCUGAGAGGAUGACCAGCCACACUGGAACUGAGACACGGUCCAGACUCCUACGGGAGGCAGCAGUGGGGAAUAUUGCACAAUGGGCGCAAGCCGGAUGCAGCCAUGCCGCGUGUAUGAAGAAGGCCUUCGGGUUGUAAAGUACUUUCAGCGGGGAGGAAGGGAGUAAAGUUAAUACCUGUGCUCAUUGACGUUACCCGCAGAAGAAGCACCGGCUAACUCCGU
RNAcentral lists this ribosomal RNA (489 nucleotides) under uncultured bacterium. RNAcentral's name for it is "partial 16S ribosomal RNA". It matches the Rfam family "Bacterial small subunit ribosomal RNA", at positions 30 to 506 of the family's 1533-position model. The record is from RNAcentral.